UAGGGAAUCUUCGGCAAUGGACGAAAGUCUGACCGAGCAACGCCGCGUGAGUGAAGAAGGUUUUCGGAUCGUAAAGCUCUGUUGUAAGAGAAGAACGGGUGUGAGAGUGGAAAGUUCACACUGUGACGGUAUCUUACCAGAAAGGGACGGCUAACUACGUGCCAGCAGCCGCGGUAAUACGUAGGUCCCGAGCGUUGUCCGGAUUUAUUGGGCGUAAAGCGAGCGCAGGCGGUUAGAUAAGUCUGAAGUUAAAGGCUGUGGCUUAACCAUAGUACGCUUUGGAAACUGUUUAACUUGAGUGCAGAAGGGGAGAGUGGAAUUCCGUGUGUAGCGGUGAAAUGCGUAGAUAUAUGGAGGAACACCGGUGGCGAAAGCGGCUCUCUGGUCUGUAACUGACGCUGAGGCUCGAAAGCGUGGGGAGCGAACAGGAUUAGAUACCCUGGUAGUCCACGCCGUAAACGAUGAGUGCUAGGUGUUAGGCCCUUUCCGGGGCUUAGUGCCGCAGCUAACGCAUUAAGCACUCCGCCUGGGGAGUACGACCGCAAGGUUG
RNAcentral lists this ribosomal RNA (550 nucleotides) under uncultured bacterium. RNAcentral's name for it is "bacterial SSU rRNA". It matches the Rfam family "Bacterial small subunit ribosomal RNA", at positions 355 to 896 of the family's 1533-position model. The record is from RNAcentral.